CAGGGGGCAAGCUUCCGAAAGGGAGGCUAAUCCCGCGUAUAUCGGUUUCGGGCAUCCGAGAUCGAGGAAAGAUUCAUCGGAAGAGGAUGGGCAUGCGGCGCAUUAGCUAGACGGCGGGGUAACGGCCCACCGUGGCGACGAUGCGUAGGGGUUCUGAGAGGAAGGUCCCCCACACUGGUACUGAGACACGGACCAGACUCCUACGGGAGGCAGCAGUGAGGAAUAUUGGUCAAUGGGAGAGAUCCUGAACCAGCCAAGCCGCGUGAGGGAAGACGGCCCUAUGGGUUGUAAACCUCUUUUGUCGGAGAACAAAACCCGGGACGUGUCCCGGACUGCGUGUAUCCGAAGAAAAAGCAUCGGCUAACUCCGUACCAGCAGCCGCGGUAAUACGGAGGAUGCGAGCGUUAUCCGGAUUUAUUGGGUUUAAAGGGUGCGUAGGCGGUCCGUUAAGUCAGCGGUAAAAUUGCGGGGCUCAACCCCGUCGAGCCGUUGAAACUGGCAGACUUGAGUUGGCGAGAAGUACGCGGAAUGCGCGGUGUAGCGGUGAAAUGCAUAGAUAUCGCGCAGAACUCCGAUUGCGAAGGCAGCGUACCGGCGCCAGACUGACGCUGAGGCACGAAAGCGUGGGGAUCGAACAGGAUUAGAUACCCUGGUAGUCCACGCAGUAAACGAUGAAUGCUGGUUGUCCGGGUCGAAUGAGAUCUGGGCGGCGAAG
This 715-nucleotide ribosomal RNA is filed under the name uncultured bacterium. RNAcentral's name for it is "bacterial SSU rRNA". It matches the Rfam family "Bacterial small subunit ribosomal RNA", at positions 136 to 851 of the family's 1533-position model. The record is from RNAcentral.